AUUGAACGCUGGCGGAAUGCUUUACACAUGCAAGUCGAACGGUAGCACGGGGCAACCUGGUGGCGAGUGGCGAACGGGUGAGUAAUAUAUCGGAACGUGCCCAAUCGUGGGGGAUAACGUAGCGAAAGUUACGCUAAUACCGCAUACGAUCUACGGAUGAAAGCGGGGGAUCGCAAGACCUCGCGCGAAUGGAGCGGCCGAUAUCAGAUUAGGUAGUUGGUGGGGUAAAGGCUCACCAAGCCAACGAUCUGUAGCUGGUCUGAGAGGACGACCAGCCACACUGGAACUGAGACACGGUCCAGACUCCUACGGGAGGCAGCAGUGGGGAAUUUUGGACAAAUGGGCGCAAGCCUGAUCCAGCCAUUCCGCGUGCAGGAUGAAGGCCUCGG
RNAcentral lists this ribosomal RNA (389 nucleotides) under uncultured bacterium. Its description in RNAcentral is "bacterial SSU rRNA". It matches the Rfam family "Bacterial small subunit ribosomal RNA", at positions 30 to 420 of the family's 1533-position model. The record is from RNAcentral.